ACCCUCCAGCUUCCUUUCCCGUCAGACGUAAACAUUGGUCUGAGUGGCCAUUAAAGGAGGAAAAGGCCCAUGGGAGUGGACUUGGAUUCCUCGGUGACAGAGAAGGUUGCUUCAUAGAAAA
RNAcentral lists this small nucleolar RNA (121 nucleotides) under Echinops telfairi (small Madagascar hedgehog). RNAcentral's name for it is "Small nucleolar RNA SNORA61 (ENSETEG00000025269.1)". Lineage: Eukaryota; Metazoa; Chordata; Mammalia; Afrosoricida; Tenrecidae. The record is from RNAcentral.